GACGAACGCUGGCGGCGUGCUUAACACAUGCAAGUCGAACGGAAAGGCCCUGCUUUCGUGGGGUGCCCGAGUGGCGAACGGGUGAGUAACACGUGUGUAACCUGCCCUUGAUUUUGGGAUAACUUCAGGUAACUGGGGCUACUACCGGAUCGGAGCUCAUGCUGCAUGGUGGGGGUUGGAACGUUUCGGCGGUUGGGGAUGGAAUAGCGGCUUAUCAGUUUGUUGGUGGGGUAGUGGCUUGCCAAGCCUUUGACGGGUCGCCGGCCUGAGAGGGUGGCUAGCGACCAUGGGCCUGCGGUAGGGCCCAGACUCCAACGGGAGACAGCAGUGGGAAGUAUUGCACAAUGGGCGGAAGCCUGAUGCGACAACGCCGCGGUCGUGAUGACGGCCUGCGGGUUAUAAAACGCUUUCGCCUGUGACGAAGCGUGAGUGACGGUAAUGGGUAAAGAAGCACCGGCUAACUACGUG
This 468-nucleotide ribosomal RNA is filed under the name uncultured bacterium. RNAcentral's name for it is "partial 16S ribosomal RNA". It matches the Rfam family "Bacterial small subunit ribosomal RNA", at positions 28 to 507 of the family's 1533-position model. The record is from RNAcentral.